UUCUUAUCAGCAGUGAGGUGUUGCCUAUUAACACAGGUGAAAUCUUUCAGCUCUUGAUCUCACUGUUUUAAGGAGCAGAGGUAAAAUAUCCUGUAGUGAAGGAGGUAUUGCUGCUUUGAGCUGUCCUGUAUGAUGUGGCUGAGGGAGCCAUGUGCAGUGCAUCUAUGCACUUUUUGGAUGCGAAUUGGAAAUAAGGUGCUGAUUUUGGUGAAAGGCUUUCCCUCCAUGUUACAAAUGUGUGGACUGAGGAAAUGUUGGGUGAGACGCACCAGCCAUCUCCAUGCACUGUGAUGUCUACGAGAUGCUGAGGCUUCACUGAUCUGGGUGUCCCAGCCAUGUUAUCCUCCUCCCCUGAUCUCCCCCACCAUGAGCCCCACUGCCUGUGUCCCCUCUGAUCCUGAACAGCUGUUUCAGGACCUCUCUCCUGAAUCACCAUGCAAAGCCUUUUCCAGUAAUAAAAGGCUAAUGAAAGUGAAAGGGGUAUGGAAC
RNAcentral lists this long non-coding RNA (489 nucleotides) under Phasianus colchicus (ring-necked pheasant). Its description in RNAcentral is "lncRNA (ENSPCLG00000020713.1)". Lineage: Eukaryota; Metazoa; Chordata; Aves; Galliformes; Phasianidae. The record is from RNAcentral.